UACGUAGGUCCCGAGCGUUGUCCGGAUUUAUUGGGCGUAAAGCGAGCGCAGGUGGUUUAUUAAGUCUGGUGUAAAAGGCAGUGGCUCAACCAUUGUAUGCAUUGGAAACUGGUAGACUUGAGUGCAGGAGAGGAGAGUGGAAUUCCAUGUGUAGCGGUGAAAUGCGUAGAUAUAUGGAGGAACACCGGUGGCGAAAGCGGCUCUCUGGCCUGUAGCUGACGCUGAUGCUCGAAAGUGUGGGGAGCAAACAGG
This 252-nucleotide ribosomal RNA is filed under the name uncultured bacterium. Its description in RNAcentral is "partial 16S ribosomal RNA". It matches the Rfam family "Bacterial small subunit ribosomal RNA", at positions 524 to 776 of the family's 1533-position model. The record is from RNAcentral.